RNAcentral lists this ribosomal RNA (706 nucleotides) under uncultured bacterium. Its description in RNAcentral is "bacterial SSU rRNA". It matches the Rfam family "Bacterial small subunit ribosomal RNA", at positions 62 to 801 of the family's 1533-position model. The record is from RNAcentral.
UCGCACGAAGAAAGGGAGCAAUCCUAAGUAAAGUGGCGCACGGGUGAGUAACACGUGGAUCAUCUACCUUUUAGUGGGGAAUACCUCUGGGAAACCGGAGACAAUACCGCAUAAGCCCGCAAGGGGAAAGCAGCAAUGCGCUGAAAGAGGAGUCCGCGGCCGAUUAGCUAGUUGGCGGGGUAAUGGCCCACCAAGGCGAAGAUCGGUAGCCGGCCUGAGAGGGCACACGGCCACACUGGCACUGAAACACGGGCCAGACUCCUACGGGAGGCAGCAGUGGGGAAUCUUGCACAAUGGGCGAAAGCCUGAUGCAGCGACGCCGCGUGAGCGAUGAAGCCCUUCGGGGUGUAAAGCUCUUUCGACGGGAACGAUAAUGACGGUACCCGGAGAAGAAGCUGCGGCUAACUACGUGCCAGCAGCCGCGGUAAUACGUAGGCAGCGAGCGUUGUUCGGAAUUACUGGGCGUAAAGAGUGUGUAGGCGGUGUUCCCAGUCUGUUGUGAAAUCUCCCGGCUUAACUGGGAGGGUGCAGCGGAAACUAGGAUGCUAGAGGGUGGGAGAGGUAAGCGGAAUUCCUGGUGUAGCGGUGAAAUGCGUAGAUAUCAGGAGGAACACCUGUGGUGUAGACAGCUUACUGGACCACUUCUGACGCUGAGACACGAAAGCGUGGGUAGCAAACAGGAUUAGAUACCCUGGUAGUCCACGCC